RNAcentral lists this ribosomal RNA (253 nucleotides) under uncultured bacterium. RNAcentral's name for it is "partial 16S ribosomal RNA". It matches the Rfam family "Bacterial small subunit ribosomal RNA", at positions 524 to 776 of the family's 1533-position model. The record is from RNAcentral.
UACGGAGGGUGCGAGCGUUGUCCGGCUUUAUUGGGUUUAAAGGGUGCGUAGGCGGCCUAUUAAGUCAGGGGUGAAAGACGGUAGCUCAACUAUCGCAGUGCCCUUGAUACUGAUGGGCUUGAAUGAACUAGAGGUAGGCGGAAUGUGACAAGUAGCGGUGAAAUGCAUAGAUAUGUCACAGAACACCGAUUGCGAAGGCAGCUUACUAUGGUUUUAUUGACGCUGAGGCACGAAAGCGUGGGGAGCAAACAGG